This 292-nucleotide ribosomal RNA is filed under the name uncultured bacterium. RNAcentral describes it as "partial 16S ribosomal RNA". It matches the Rfam family "Bacterial small subunit ribosomal RNA", at positions 505 to 796 of the family's 1533-position model. The record is from RNAcentral.
GUGCCAGCAGCCGCGGUAAUACGGAGAGUGCGAACGUUGUUCGGAUUCACUGGGCGUAAAGGGCACGUAGGCGGCUCAGCAAAUCAGUCGUGGAAUCCCGACGCUUACCGUCGGAACGGCGGCUGAAAAUACUGGGCUUGAGGGCGUGAGGGGUCACUGGAACUCCCGGUGAAGCGGUGAAAUGCGUAGAUAUCGGGAGGAACGCCGGAGGCGAAAGCGAGUGACUGGCGCGUUCCUGACGCUGAGGUGCGAAAGCUAGGGGAGCAAACAGGAUUAGAAACCCUUGUAGUCC